RNAcentral lists this transfer RNA (65 nucleotides) under Maja crispata. RNAcentral's name for it is "tRNA-Glu". The record is from RNAcentral. Lineage: Eukaryota; Metazoa; Arthropoda; Malacostraca; Decapoda; Majidae.
AAUUUUAUAGUGUAAAAAACACGCUACAUUUUCAUUGUAGAGCUGAAUAACUUAUUCUAAAAUUU